This 451-nucleotide ribosomal RNA is filed under the name uncultured bacterium. RNAcentral describes it as "partial 16S ribosomal RNA". It matches the Rfam family "Bacterial small subunit ribosomal RNA", at positions 29 to 523 of the family's 1533-position model. The record is from RNAcentral.
AACGAACGCUGGCGGCAUGCCUAACACAUGCAAGUCGAACGCCCGUAGCAAUACGGGAGUGGCAGACGGGUGCAUAACACGUGGGAACCUACCCUUGGGUUCGGAAUAACCGCGGGAAACUGCGGCUAAUACCGGAUACGUCCUCUGGGAGAAAGAUUCAUCGCCCUUGGAGGGGCCCGCGUCGGAUUAGCUAGUUGGUGAGGUAACGGCUCACCAAGGCGACGAUCCGUAGCUGAUCUGAGAGGAUGAUCAGCCACACUGGAACUGAGACACGGUCCAGACUCCUACGGGAGGCAGCAGUGGGGAAUAUUGGACAAUGGGGGCAACCCUGAUCCAGCAAUGCCGCGUGGGUGAUGAAGGCCUUCGGGUUGUAAAGCCCUUUUGGCAGGGACGAUGAUGACGGUACCUGCAGAAUAAGCCCCGGCUAACUUCGUGCCAGCCGCCGCGGUAA